AACAAGGUUUCCGUAGGUGAACCUGCGGAAGGAUCAUUACCGAGUUCUCGGGCUUCGGCUCGACUCUCCCACCCUUUGUGAACGUACCUCUGUUGCUUUGGCGGCCCCGGCCGCCAGAGGACCUUCAAACUCCAGUCAGUAAACGCAGACGUCUGAAAAAACAAGUUAAUAAACUAAAACUUUCAACAACGGAUCUCUUGGUUCUGGCAUCGAUGAAGAACGCAGCGAAAUGCGAUAAGUAAUGUGAAUUGCAGAAUUCAGUGAAUCAUCGAAUCUUUGAACGCACAUUGCGCCCCUUGGUAUUCCGGGGGGCAUGCCUGUUCGAGCGUCAUUACAACCCUCAAGCUCUGCUUGGUAUUGGGCACCGUCCUCACUGCGGACGCGCCUCGAAGACCUCGGCGGUGGCUGUUCGGCCCUCAAGCGUAGUAGAAUACACCUCGCUUUGGAGCGGUCGGCGUCGCCCGCCGGACGAACCUUCUGAACUUUUCUCAAGGUUGACCUCGGAUCAGGUAGGGAUACCCGCUGAACUUAAGCAUAUCAAUAAGCGGAGGA
This 552-nucleotide ribosomal RNA is filed under the name Lasiodiplodia venezuelensis. Its description in RNAcentral is "eukaryotic LSU rRNA". The stretch from base 178 to 331 matches the Rfam family "5.8S ribosomal RNA". Lineage: Eukaryota; Fungi; Ascomycota; Dothideomycetes; Botryosphaeriales; Botryosphaeriaceae. The record is from RNAcentral.